CCUACGGGAGGCAGCAUUGGGGAUAUUGCACAAUGGGCGCAAGCCUGAUGCAGCCAUGCCGCGUGUGUGAAGAAGGCCUUCGGGUUGUAAAGCACUUUCAGCGGGGAGGAAGGCGUUAAGGUUAAUAACCUUGGCGAUUGACGUUACCCGCAGAAGAAGCACCGGCUAACUCCGUGCCAGCAGCCGCGGUAACACGGAGGGUGCAAGCGUUAAUCAGAAUUACUGGGCGUAAAGCGCACGCCGGCGGUCUGUCAAGUCGGAUGUGAAAUCCCCGGGCUCAACCUGGGAACUGCAUUCGAAACUGGCAGGCUAGAGUCUUGUAGAGGGGGGUAGAAUUCCAGGUGUAGCGGUGAAAUGCGUAGAGAUCUGGAGGAAUACCGGUGGCGAAGGCGGCCCCCUGGACAAAGACUGACGCUCAGGUGCGAAAGCGUGGGGAGCAAACAGGAUUAGAUACCCGAGUAGUC
RNAcentral lists this ribosomal RNA (464 nucleotides) under uncultured bacterium. RNAcentral describes it as "bacterial SSU rRNA". It matches the Rfam family "Bacterial small subunit ribosomal RNA", at positions 338 to 795 of the family's 1533-position model. The record is from RNAcentral.